GUUUUCUCCUUUCUCUCUGAGGUAAAUCCAAGAUGGCGGCCGGUAACUACUAUGAGUUGGAAGCCGCGGCCAUCGUUGGGCCCUAUCGCGGGUUUUUAGAAGUGGGGCGGGGGGGAAAGGCCGCUGUGGAGGGAGCGGGUGUGAGGUGGCCCUCCCCGCGUGCGCCGGUGGGCCCUCUCGGCCGCCUUGUACAACAACAGCCUUGCCAGGAAACAAUUAUGUCCAGGAAAAGAAAAAUUGACUCACAGGAUCUUCAAAGAACAGUGGAUUUACGAUUACUUUUUCAUGCAGUAUAAGGAAAGAGCUGUUUGUCUGAUAUGCCCGGAUUUAAUGGCUGUGUCGAGGGAAUACAAUUUACGUUGACACUGCAAGAUUCAACAUAAAGACAAAUAUGAUUGUUUGGUCAGAUAAGCAAGAAAAGACAAACUUUUAAAACUGAAAAAUGGAUUGACAACUCAGCAAAAUGCUUUUGUGAAGCAAAUGAUGCAAAGGGAGUUUCAAAUGAGAUUUAAGGAGCUUCGUGCACAUGAACAGGACAGACAGCUUUUCCGGAACCCAUUUUCUGUUGACAUUGAAAUUGUUGAUCCAAUUUACCAAAUGGAACUGGCCAAACUACAGAAUGGUGACUCUGAAAGACGCAUUCAAGCCAAGCAGCCUUACUAAUUUCUAUGCAUCUCUCCCCUCUGAGACAUACCUUCAUCUCAGGAACCAGGCACUCAGAAUGGUAACCAUCUUUGACAACACCUAUGUCUGUGAACAGACUUUUUCCCGAAUGAAACACCUGAAAUCCCCAACUGAGGAACACUUGCAUCACUUGUUACGACUGGCAGUCACAAAUAUGGAAUCGGACAUCGACUGUCUCAUCCGCCAAAAGCAGGCCCACGCUUCCCACUGAAAUACUAGCCUUAAAGCAACAGGACAUGAAAUUGAUUUUGAAGGAACCAAAUUAAUCUCCAAAACUGAACACUACCACAAGAGACUAAUUAUGGAAGCCAUCGAAAUAGAGAAACACCCCCACAGCAUGAAUAAACGUGACAAUACCUCCCGCCUACCAGACAUCUGGAAACUAGCCCUAGUCAACAAACGAGUCCCAGUCAGGAAAAUUGACACCGGACCCAGGAUAACACAUGAUGCUACCACCAAUCAUCCUCACCAGAUUCAAACCCAAACCCAUCCCAUAGACGAAAUACAACCACCAUCCAGAAGCCAGCUCACAGCGGCAUCACCAGCUGCUGCACCCCCCUCCGAUCCCCACGCAAAGCAAGCUGACACACACCAUGAACACAUGACAGGACCUCAAACUCGGAGCCAGACCAGGGCCCAGGAUGCUGCAUCACAGCCAUCUGCUCAGAAUGUUGCAGCCCAGUACUCAGGAUGUCACAGCACUAGAGCUCAGGAUGUUGCAGCACAGCCCAUUACCCAGGUCAUUAAGACUAAUGGGCACACAGGACCACACCUGCACAGGAUGCUAUGAAAAAGCUGACCAAUCUGCAAAGAUCAUCAACCCAUCAAGAUGUAACAACACAGCCAACCAAUCCACUUACAGCAACAAAGCCAGCAUUCCACAUCUCCCCACCAGUAUUUAUAGAGAGAUGGUAGCUCCAGCCACGCUUUGCUCGCACAAGCACGAAGCCGAAAGCACCAGCCUGAAGAUGACAAGUAGGACCUCGUCGAAAUAUCGCCUAGAUACUUUCAACCUUACACGGGAAAAGACCCGAAUAUGCCAAGACCUACAUACCUAUACCUGUGAAAACCUACAAAAACACACACACACACACACACAUAUAUAUAUAUAUAUAUAUAUAUAUGUAGGUCUUUGGUUAUUCGGGUUUUCUCCCGCGUAAAAU
This is a long non-coding RNA of Ahaetulla prasina, 1847 nucleotides long. RefSeq lists it as uncharacterized. The transcript is spliced from 3 exons. Lineage: Eukaryota; Metazoa; Chordata; Lepidosauria; Squamata; Colubridae. The record is from RefSeq and is a predicted model, not a curated record.